UACAGAGGCCUCGAGCGUUAGGCGGAAUCACUGGGCUUAAAGCGUGUGUAGGUGGAUGCCUAAGUACCUUGUGAAAUCCCACGGCUUAACCGUGGAAUUGCUGGGUAUACUGGGUGUCUUGAGCCACUCAGGGGCUACCGGAACAAGCGGUGGAGCGGUGAAAUGCGUAGAUAUCGCUUGGAACGCCAAUGGUGAAAACAGGUAGCUGGGGGUGUGCUGACACUGAGACACGAAAGUGUGGGGAUCAAACAGG
Molecule: ribosomal RNA, 253 nt
Filed under: uncultured bacterium
Lineage: Bacteria
Description: partial 16S ribosomal RNA
Rfam family: Bacterial small subunit ribosomal RNA
Source: RNAcentral